Myripristis murdjan (pinecone soldierfish) is the source of this 1588-nucleotide long non-coding RNA. RefSeq lists it as uncharacterized. The transcript is spliced from 7 exons. NCBI's taxonomy places the organism in Eukaryota, Metazoa, Chordata, Actinopteri, Holocentriformes, Holocentridae. The record is from RefSeq and is a predicted model, not a curated record.
UUUGGAUUGGCUGAAAAUCCUGUCAAUCAAACUCUUGAUCCCUAAGGGUCUUUUGAUUGGUUUUCUGUUGGCGCAGGGGCGGGGCUUACGGUCUGACGUCAUCCACAGUGUUUGUAGCUGAGGUGACAGGAAAAUGUCGUGGACGAGGAGACGCCAGCGGAGGAUGAAAAAGCCAAAAUUUCACAAACAGACGGAGAAUUGUCACCGGAAGAUGUUUGGAAAAGAUAUUUAAAGGUUGUUGGUUCCAGCUGGAGCCAGACAGAACCGGCAGCAACCCGCGAAGAUACCGUCGCUACCGCCGUUUGUUUAGCGACGUUAGCCGUUAGCCGCUAGCUAGGCGACGUUAGCCGUUAGCCGUUAGUUUAGCGACGUUAGCUUCGUUAGCCGUUAGCUUCAGCUUCGUUAGCCGCUAGCUAGGCGACGUUAGCCGUUAGCUUCGUUAGCCGUUAGCUUAGCAACAUUAGCCCCGACAGCCCGGCGGCUCCGGGCCCAGCGGCUUCCCGACACAAGAGCCACAGCCGGGGGAGGAGGAGCCAGCCAGGCCCGGCCCACCUGUCUCUCCUCCAUCUUCCAGCAGCGCCCCGCAGGUGGAGACGGAGACGGAGGGCGAUGUGCGGGCUGACGGGGCUCAAACGCUGCCGGAGGCCGGAAUAAAGCAGCAGAUGUCCCGGCAGCAGAGCGACGCCACAGACACCUGGAGAGGCUUCCUCUCUCUCGGGAGGAGCCGCGGCCACAGUCGUGUGGCGCCGCUGAGGGAGGUGUAGAGCGACUCGCAGCACGUCACGCUGAACAACAAGCAGAGAGGAUGCUGGUAUUUGAAUUCUGCUGCUGGCGGCAUCGCCGGGGCGUUCAUCCACCAGAAGCACCAACACACCGUCAGACCAGCGCUGCGGGGACACGACUCCAGAACUCACCUCCACAUCAGUAACGUGAUGGAGCUGCAGCCUGGAGUCAUCCUGCUGCUCUGCCCCCUGCAGGCCAGUCUGAGGUGUGCAGCAGAGCAGCAGCCGGACUCUGACCAGGAAGUCCAUCCUGCUGACGACGGGCAGGACGACGCCAUCGGACCAUCAGAACGUCUGCCAGGAGCUGCAGGGCCGACACUACACCAACACGUCCUGACUGGCUGCUUACCCAGCAUGCUCUCUGCCUGCUGGUCACUCCUCUGCCGCUCUUCAGCGACGCCACACGACUGAAACACAAAGCAGCAGAGAGACAGUCAAUAAAGCUGAUUUCAAUCCGCCUUGUCUGCACUCACUUCAACACUAAUUAGCAGAAUUAAUGAUCAUUUAUGGUGAAUUAAGAAUCCUGUCAUCCAUCCUGUGCCGGUGACAUGAGGCUCUAAUAAACAGAGAAAAAUGAAUAGUAACAUUGAUAUUAAUAAAAUAUUAAACAUUUACAUGAAUGAAAUCAUUACUGUCCUGUUAGAAACUGUUUACAGUCGUUUGUAAAUGAUUGCAUUAAUGACUAAAUAUAAAAACUUUCAUUAUUGUAUUUGUUUUUAUUGUGUAUUGAAUUUGUUAGUUACAUUAAAUUAUAACAAAUGAAGAAACUAAAGUGUUAACAAUAAAUGUUUAUGCUAUUAUUACUA